UUCGAACUUAGCGUUCAUAACAAGCUCGUUUAUGCAUUUUAUAUAUGAUCUCCAUCCUUGCUCUAAGCUCAUAGGUCACUCGCCACCUCUUUGUGUGGAAUUACAAUCACAAUGGCGAAGAGUGCAUGCUCAAUCUUUUUCAUUUCAGUGCUUUUCCAAAUAAUCCUUUGUGUGUUGGCCCAAAAGAGCAAGUUUGCCAAUGUAAGUCCUGCAUCAUUCAUAUGGAAGGACGCAGAGCUUAACAAGGACUGCUCUGCGAGAGAAAUUGAAAAUUCAAACUUGAGGGUCACCCACAUUCAAGGAAAAUGUUCCCCAUUCAGGCACCCCAAUUCAACAUGGUGGAGUGCGAUAAUGGAAUCCAUCAAGGGCGAUGAACAUCGCUACCGAGCAAUAAUGAACAGAAGCGUGGGCCGGUCAUUUAAGACCAGCAGCCCGAAUAGUCCACAAGAGGACACCGAUGUACCAUUAUCCUCCUCCAAGAGUGGUGGAAAUUACAUUAUCAAGCUGGGUUUCGGCACACCCAUUCAAAACUUCUACUUGGAAGUGGACACCGGGAGUGAUAUAACCUGGAUCCCCUGUGCUCCCUGCUCUUCUUGCUCAAGUGCCCUCUUCAGCCCAUCUAAAUCUUCAACCUACAAAUACCUCACCUGCGCUUCAAAGCCUUGUCAAGAUCUGGGCAUCUGUGGAAAUAAUAAAAAUAGCAACUGCAGCGUUGGACAACAAUACGGGGAUCAAUCAGAGGUUGAUCAGUUGAUGUCAUCUGAGACUCUCUCUGUGAGCUCGCAGUACCGCGUGAAGGAUUUUGUUUUUGGAUGCGCGUAUUCUCUCAAGGGACCUCUCAUCCAGUCCUCGCCUGGUUUAAUUGGCUUUGGAAGGGACCCUGUUUCCUUUGUUUCACAGACGGCUGCUUUAUAUGACAGAACGUUCUCUUAUUGCCUUCCUAGCCUUGCGUCCUCUGCUUUCACUGGGUCUAUCAGAUUGGGGAAAACCGCUCUUUCUGUUCCGGGCUUGCAGUUCACUCCCCUCUUGUCAAAUUCCCAACUUCCUUCUUUCUAUUUUCUAGGGCUCACUGGAAUCUCUGUGGGAGAAGAGCUUGUUUCUAUUCCUCCUGGAAAGGGGAAAGGGACUAUUAUUGAUUCGGGUACUGUUAUUAGUCGGCUGGUGAAGCCCGCUUACAAUGCCAUGCGAGAUUCUUUCCGCCGUCAAAUUGUCUAAUCUCACUCUGGCUCGGCCCUCAGAGCCCUUCGAUACGUGCUAUAAGGUUCCUCAAAAAGCUGUGAAGUUUCCUGUGAUUACAUUGCAUUUUGGGAAUAGUUUGGACUUGAGUCUGCCUAUGGAGAACACUCUGUUCCCUGGAAAUGCUAGGGGUUCGGUCUUGUGCUUGGCUUUUGCUCUUCCUCCCGAUGGGGGAGACUCGAACACGGUUUCCAUAAUUGGGAAUUACCAGCAGCAGAACUUCCGCGUAGUGCAUGAUGUGCCAGGCUCAAGGCUUGGUGUUGCUCCAGAGAAUUGUGAUGUUUAGUGCUUGGCUGUUUGUAUGUUCUAGGUUACGAGUCUUUGAUAAAAGCAUCUUGAUGUAACUUUGUGUUUGUUCUUAUUUACUAAUCCAUUAUCAUUGAAAAAGUUGUCUGA
This is an RNA transcript of Cryptomeria japonica (Japanese cedar), 1632 nucleotides long. It is a transcript of the gene named aspartyl protease AED3-like, with no coding region annotated. The transcript has a single exon. The record is from RefSeq and is a predicted model, not a curated record. NCBI's taxonomy places the organism in Eukaryota, Viridiplantae, Streptophyta, Pinopsida, Cupressales, Cupressaceae.